UGGGGAAUAUUGGACAAUGGGGGCAACCCUGAUCCAGCCAUGCCGCGUGAGUGACGAAGGUCUUCGGAUUGUAAAGCUCUUUUGGCGGGGAAGAUAAUGACGGUACCCGCAGAAUAAGCCCCGGCUAACUUCGUGCCAGCAGCCGCGGUAAUACGAAGGGGGCUAGCGUUGUUCGGAAUCACUGGGCGUAAAGCGCACGUAGGCGGAUGUGUCAGUCAGGGGUGAAAUCCCGGAGCUCAACUUCGGAACUGCCUCUGAUACAGCACGUCUUGAGUCCGGAAGAGGUGGGUGGAAUUCCUAGUGUAGAGGUGAAAUUCGUAGAUAUUAGGAAGAACACCGGUGGCGAAGGCGGCCCACUGGUCCGGUACUGACGCUGAGGUGCGAAAGCGUGGGGAGCAAAC
Molecule: ribosomal RNA, 401 nt
Filed under: uncultured bacterium
Lineage: Bacteria
Description: bacterial SSU rRNA
Rfam family: Bacterial small subunit ribosomal RNA
Source: RNAcentral